Drosophila willistoni is the source of this 1354-nucleotide long non-coding RNA. RefSeq lists it as uncharacterized. Lineage: Eukaryota; Metazoa; Arthropoda; Insecta; Diptera; Drosophilidae. The transcript is spliced from 7 exons. The record is from RefSeq and is a predicted model, not a curated record.
AUUUAAGUUUUUCAUUCUGUAUUCAGCUUUGGUUGUGCCUAGACCCAAAGUAAAUCAGUAAAUCAUUAAAUUUUUCUCAUUAUUCCUAAAAAGUGUCAAAACAAAAACUAAAUUAUUUUUUUUUUUAACGGGAGAAGAGAAUUUCUGCUCUGAUUUUUCCUUUCCGUUUUAGUAAUAAGGGUACCUAGCAAAUCGAAUUUCUAGAACAUCUUGAUUUUUCCUUUUUCUUCUUUUUCUUUCAAGAACGAAAAAAUUUUUCCUAACGGGCAAAUAUUAAAUCUGUAAAUUGGUAUCACCAGAGCUUGUCCUUAAAUUUGCGUCAAUGCGAGGUAGCUAUGGGAAAAUUAGUUAGUCCAAUGCCCAAAAUCUGUCAAAUGGUGAAGUCUAUUAUUGACAGGAUAACUGGAUCCAACGGAUACGACUCCCAAUUUUUACCACGAUGACCAGGAUUAAUCGACAAUGCUUCAUUUCUAGCCGAGCUUUAAUAUUUUUCCUUAGUAUCCUUACAAUCUAUUGAGAAAAACUUUUUUCAACUCGUAACGACUGUGCUGCAAUCCAAAACAUUGGGCACUACAUAGAAUGGGAACUCGGCCGAUUCAUCUACAUCUGCAAAAGCAAAACAUAUUCAACAGAAGUCAAUUGCUCUGAAGUGUCGCGGUUUUUGCGAUAAAAAUAUUCCAAGAUCUAUAUAUAACGUCGUUAUAAUAGCUUCGAUCUUCGUUAUUGUUGUCAUUGGCAGCUUUCGAGAUGAUUGUUUCCAGAAGUUAUUUCGUUGCAAAACGCAUCUUCUUUACAACUGCAAAAGUGAAUCUGCUUACAGGUAUCACCAGUUCUUAUCCGUUCACAAACGUUUGAUAUGGCCUGAUAGAUGGGCAUAAUAUCCAUAUGGUUUUUCCUUAAUAUUCAUAAAUUCUAUCAAAAAAGACUAUUUAAUGACUUGAAUCAAAUGUCUGGAUCCAUCGGAAUCGUUUCCGUCUCUUUUAAAUUGUUCCAGAACGCGUAGGCUUCAUCGAUAAGAAUUCUUUGCAAUACGAGCUUAAAUAUGCCUAAUUUUUCCGUAAUAUCCUUACAUAUUCUUUCUUUUUAACUGCAAAAGUGAUUGAAACUGCCCAACUUAAUCCUUAAUCAUAACCAAAACAAUUAUCCUUGUUCUCAUCAUUGUCGUCAUCUUCGUCACCAUCAGUGAUUUUGGUUAAAUGACAUAGUGCUUUAUUGGGAGUGCCCAAAUCUUAAUUUCCUUAUCUUAAACUGAAAGACAUGACCAAAAAUCAAAAGUUUUCUGAUGUGAUGUCGUUGAAGCUGUGCGAGGAAUCCGGCAUCGGCACAUAGAUGAUAUUAUAACAAAAGUUUCCAA